GCAUAUCAAUAAGCGGAGGAAAAGAAACCAACAGGGAUUGCCCUAGUAACGGCGAGUGAAGCGGCAACAGCUCAAAUUUGAAAUCUGGCUCUUUCAGAGUCCGAGUUGUAAUUUGCAGAGGGCGCUUUGGCUUUGGCAGCGGUCCAAGUUCCUUGGAACAGGACGUCACAGAGGGUGAGAAUCCCGUACGUGGUCGCUAGCUAUUGCCGUGUAAAGCCCCUUCGACGAGUCGAGUUGUUUGGGAAUGCAGCUCUAAAUGGGAGGUAAAUUUCUUCUAAAGCUAAAUACUGGCCAGAGACCGAUAGCGCACAAGUAGAGUGAUCGAAAGAUGAAAAGCACUUUGGAAAGAGAGUCAAACAGCACGUGAAAUUGUUGAAAGGGAAGCGCUUGCAGCCAGACUUGCUUGCAGUUGCUCAUCCGGGCUUUUGCCCGGUGCACUCUUCUGUAGGCAGGCCAGCAUCAGUUUGGGCGGUGGGAUAAAGGUCUCUGUCACGUACCUCCUUUCGGGGAGGCCUUAUAGGGGAGACGACAUACCACCAGCCUGGACUGAGGUCCGCGCAUCUGCUAGGAUGCUGGCGUAAUGGCUGUAAGCGGCCCGUCUUGAAACACGGACCAAGGAGUCUAACAUCUAUGCGAGUGUUUGGGUGUCAAGCCCGAGCGCGUAAUGAAAGUGAACGGAGGUGGGAACCCGCAAGGGCGCACCAUCGACCGAUCCUGAAGUUUACGGAAGGAUUUGAGUAAGAGCAUGGCUGUUGGGACCCGAAAGAUGGUGAACUAUGCUUGAAUAGGGUGAAGCCAGAGGAAACUCUGGUGGAGGCUCGCAGCGGUUCUGACGUGCAAAUCGAUCGUCAAAUUUGGGCAUAGGGGCGAAAGACUAAUCGAACUAUCUAGUAGCUGGUUCCUGCCGAAG
This 910-nucleotide ribosomal RNA is filed under the name Curvularia nodulosa. RNAcentral describes it as "LSU rRNA". It matches the Rfam family "Eukaryotic large subunit ribosomal RNA", at positions 38 to 966 of the family's 3401-position model. Lineage: Eukaryota; Fungi; Ascomycota; Dothideomycetes; Pleosporales; Pleosporaceae. The record is from RNAcentral.